CGGAGGGAAACCGAGUCUUAAUUGGGCGUUAAGUUGCAGGGUAUAGACCCGAAACCCGGUGAUCUAGCCAUGGGCAGGUUGAAGGUUGGGUAACACUAACUGGAGGACCGAACCGACUAAUGUUGAAAAAUUAGCGGAUGACCUGUGGCUGGGGGUGAAAGGCCAAUCAAACCGGGAGAUAGCUGGUUCUCCCCGAAAGCUAUUUAGGUAGCGCCUCGUGAAUUCAUCUCCGGGGGUAGAGCACUGUUUCGGCUAGGGGGCCAUCCCGGCUUACCAACCCGAUGCAAACUGCGAAUACCGGAGAAUGUUAUCACGGGAGACACACGGCGGGUGCUAACGUCCGUCGUGAAGAGGGAAACAACCCAGACCGCCAGCUAAGGUCCCAAAGUCAUGGUUAAGUGGGAAACGAUGUGGGAAGGCCCAGACAGCCAGGAUGUUGGCUUAGAAGCAGCCAUCAUUUAAAGAAAGCGUAAUAGCUCACUGGUCGAGUCGGCCUGCGCGGAAGAUGUAACGGGGCUAAACCAUGCACCGAAGCUGCGGCAGCGACGCUGAUGCGUUGUUGGGUAGGGGAGCGUUCUGUAAGCCUGCGAAGGUGGCCUGUGAGGGUUGCUGGAGGUAUCAGAAGUGCGAAUGCUGACAUAAGUAACGAUAAAGCGGGUGAAAAGCCCGCUCGCCGGAAGACCAAGGGUUCCUGUCCAACGUUAAUCGGGGCAGGGUGAGUCGACCCCUAAGGCGAGGCCGAAAGGCGUAGUCGAUGGGAAACGGGUUAAUAUUCCCGUACUUGGUGUUACUGCGAAGGGGGGACGGAGAAGGCUAUGUUGGCCGGGCGACGGUU
RNAcentral lists this ribosomal RNA (835 nucleotides) under Salmonella enterica. RNAcentral describes it as "partial 23S ribosomal RNA". It matches the Rfam family "Bacterial large subunit ribosomal RNA", at positions 667 to 1503 of the family's 2925-position model. Lineage: Bacteria; Pseudomonadati; Pseudomonadota; Gammaproteobacteria; Enterobacterales; Enterobacteriaceae. RNAcentral also lists the same sequence under 1 other name. The record is from RNAcentral.